UACGUAGGGUGCGAGCGUUAAUCGGAAUUACUGGGCGUAAAGCGUGCGCAGGCGGUUUUGUAAGCCAGAUGUGAAAUCCCCGGGCUUAACCUGGGAAUGGCAUUUGGGACUGCAAGGCUGGAGUGUGGCAGAGGAGACUGGAAUUCCCGGUGUAGCAGUGAAAUUCGUAGAUAUCGGGAGGAACACCAGUGGCGAAGGCGGCGAUCUGGGAAGAUACUGACGCUGAGGUGCGAAAGCGUGGGGAGCAAACAGG
RNAcentral lists this ribosomal RNA (253 nucleotides) under uncultured bacterium. RNAcentral's name for it is "partial 16S ribosomal RNA". It matches the Rfam family "Bacterial small subunit ribosomal RNA", at positions 524 to 776 of the family's 1533-position model. The record is from RNAcentral.